CCUGACGGUAGUCGUAUGCUCGUCUCCGAGACUAAGCCAUGCAAGUCCAAGUACACGUCCUUGAACGACGGAAACUGCGAACGGCUCAUUAAAUCAGUUGCGAUCUACUCGGCGUUCCGCGCCGCCGGAUAACCGUAGUAAUUCUAGGGCUAAUACGUGCGAAGCGCCCGAAGCCGCGAGGCGACGGGCGUUCUCGCCGGAUGUAGGAACCGACCCGGGGACCGCCGGGGCAACCCCGGCGCCCCCGAGACGGGGCGAACCACGGUGAAAUGACGGAUCGUCGGCCCCGCGCCGGCGACUCGCCGAAUGAGUUUCUGACCUAUCAACUCGAGACGGCGGGGUAGAGGCCCGCCGCGGUAACGACGGGUAACGGGGAUCAGGGUUCGAUUCCGGAGAGGGAGCCCGAGAACGGCUACCACUUCCAAGGAAGGCAGCAGGCGCGCAACUUACCCUAAUCUCGAUUCGAGGA
RNAcentral lists this ribosomal RNA (469 nucleotides) under uncultured eukaryote. RNAcentral describes it as "bacterial SSU rRNA". It matches the Rfam family "Eukaryotic small subunit ribosomal RNA", at positions 13 to 462 of the family's 1831-position model. The record is from RNAcentral.